RNAcentral lists this ribosomal RNA (515 nucleotides) under uncultured bacterium. RNAcentral's name for it is "partial 16S ribosomal RNA". It matches the Rfam family "Bacterial small subunit ribosomal RNA", at positions 28 to 523 of the family's 1533-position model. The record is from RNAcentral.
GAUGAACGCUGGCGGCGUGCCUAAUACAUGCAAGUCGAGCGAAUGGAUUAAGAGCUUGCUCUUAUGAAGUUAGCGGCGGACGGGUGAGUAACACGUGGGUAACCUGCCCAUAAGACUGGGAUAACUCCGGGAAACCGGGGCUAAUACCGGAUAACAUUUUGAACCGCAUGGUUCGAAAUUGAAAGGCGGCUUCGGCUGUCACUUAUGGAUGGACCCGCGUCGCAUUGGCUAGUUGGUGAGGUAACGGCUCACCAAGGCAACGAUGCGUAGCCGACCUGAGGGGUAGUUCGGCCACACUGGGACUGAGACACGGCCCAGACUCCUACGGGAGGCAGCAGUAGGGAAUCUUCCGCAAUGGACGAAAGUCUGACGGAGCAACGCCGCGUGAGUGAUGAAGGCUUUCGGGUCGUAAAACUCUGUUGUUAGGGAAGAACAAGUGCUAGUUGAAUAAGCUGACACCUUGACGGUACCUAACCAGAAAGCCACGGCUAACUACGUGCCAGCCGCCGCCGUAA